CAAUAGCGUAUAUUAAAGUUGUUGCAGUUAAAAAGCUCGUAGUUGGAUUUCUGGUGGGAGCGAUCGGUCUGGCGCUUAGCGCGAGUACUUGCAUCGUCUCCGGCCACCCUUGGGGAGAGUCUGUCUGGCAUUAGGUUGUCGGGCAGAGGAUCCUCAUCGUUUACUGUGAAAAAAUUAGAGUGUUCAAAGCAGGCUUAUGCCGUUGAAUAUAUUAGCAUGGAAUAAUAAGAUAGGACUUUGGUACUAUUUUGUUGGUUUGCGCACCAAAGUAAUGAUUAAUAGGGACAGUUGGGGGUAUUCGUAUUCCGUUGUCAGAGGUGAAAUUCUUGGAUUUACGGAAGACGAACUACUGCGAAAGCAUUUACCAAGGAUGUUUNCAUUAA
This 383-nucleotide ribosomal RNA is filed under the name uncultured eukaryote. RNAcentral's name for it is "partial 18S ribosomal RNA". It matches the Rfam family "Eukaryotic small subunit ribosomal RNA", at positions 592 to 976 of the family's 1831-position model. The record is from RNAcentral.